Molecule: long non-coding RNA, 517 nt
Filed under: Setaria viridis
Lineage: Eukaryota; Viridiplantae; Streptophyta; Magnoliopsida; Poales; Poaceae
Description: long non-coding RNA (SVIR_LNC007550)
Source: RNAcentral
GGGCUUCUACCCCCCUACAGGGUGCAUCCUCAUUGGAGCAGAGUUAGGGGAUGAGAAAGAUGAGGGAAGAUGAAGAAGAGAAGAGAGAAGGGGUGGGGGAAAAGGAGGAAGAAGAGUUCAUCCUCGUUGAGCUGUGUCCUAGGUUCGUCCCAUAAGAAAAUUGUAUAAUGUUGAAGGAUGGAGAUAAACUUUAUACUCGAAUAUAGUUCUUAAUAAGAUUUAGGCCCUGUUUGUUUGAUUUACUAGGAGCUUUUCAACUGCUAACUUUUGGGAUGUCCAAAACCAAACACCUCUAAAAGCUGGAAGCUGAAAAGCUCAUGACAGGAAGAUUUUGGCUUAUAGGUUUUGGAGCCACUGGGCUUUUAGAGGUCCCAAUAGCCAAAGGACCAAAAGCGCCGAGAGGCUCAAACAAACAAACAAUCCCUUAUAAUAAAAAAACUAUCACCGCACAGCACACACAUUACAUGGACAAAUGCCGGGACACACUUUUACCUCUAUAAGCACUAUACCUUCUAUA